Molecule: ribosomal RNA, 301 nt
Filed under: uncultured bacterium
Lineage: Bacteria
Description: partial 16S ribosomal RNA
Rfam family: Bacterial small subunit ribosomal RNA
Source: RNAcentral
CAGUCGCCGCGGUAAUACGUAGGGUGCAAGCGUUAAUCGGAAUUACUGGGCGUAAAGCGUGCGCAGGCGGUUAUAUAAGACAGAUGUGAAAUCCCCGGGCUCAACCUGGGAACUGCAUUUGUGACUGUAUAGCUAGAGUACGGCAGAGGGGGAUGGAAUUCCGCGUGUAGCAGUGAAAUGCGUAGAUAUGCGGAGGAACACCGAUGGCGAAGGCAAUCCCCUGGGCCUGUACUGACGCUCAUACACGAAAGCGUGGGGAGCAAACAGGAUUAGAUACCCCCGUAGUCCCUGUCUCUUAUAC